AACACCCAAUACUAGCCAUCUAGUUCAUAUAAGAAAUUACCAUUUUACCCUUCUCCUCAAAUUUUUUCACCUCUUUGAACGUAAGCCAUAAAGCUCUUUCGAUGUCGAGCCAGAUCGUGGAACAAGAUUGGAGAGACGUAACUCGCUCAGAUCAACAGUUUUCUCCCGAUACAAAAUGGGUAGACGAGGAACACAACCAAAUACUGAACAUGAAACUUCCAGGGUUUCCAAAGAAUCGACUACAAAUCACCUUGAAUGCAACAACAAGGACUCUCACAAUUACUGGACAGAAACAAGAUGGCCUAUUCAACAUUAUUCGUUUGAACGAACGUAUACCGAUCGACGACACAUUCUCCCUAGACGGAGUGUUUGCAAGACUGCAUGAUCAGACUCUUUUUAUUACCUUUCCCAAGAAGAAAUAAAUCGUCAUUUCCAUCUAAAUGAAGAUUUACGUUCAUAACGAAUAAUGAUCAUCUUCUAUGUACAUAAUAGAGUUUGUGUAUUUCGAUACCCGUAAUUGAAUCGUGUGUGAAGAACGAUGUUAUUGUGCACUUGAAUAUGAAUAAAUUGAAUAUUUACAUUUA
Molecule: long non-coding RNA, 584 nt
Organism: Cucurbita maxima (winter squash)
Lineage: Eukaryota; Viridiplantae; Streptophyta; Magnoliopsida; Cucurbitales; Cucurbitaceae
Exons: 2
Source: RefSeq, a predicted model, not a curated record